GUAGUCCACGCCGUAAACGUUGGGCGCUAGGUGUGGGUUCCCUUCCACGGGAUCCGUGCCGCAGCUAACGCAUUAAGCGCCCCGCCUGGGGAGUACGGCCGCAAGGCUAAAACUCAAAGGAAUUGACGGGGGCCCGCACAAGCGGCGGAGCAUGUGGCUUAAUUCGACGCAACGCGAAGAACCUUACCAAGGCUUGACAUGGGGAGUUUACCCGUAGAGAUGCGGGGUCCGUAAGGGCUUUCCACAGGUGGUGCAUGGUUGUCGUCAGCUCGUGUCGUGAGAUGUUGGGUUAAGUCCCGCAACGAGCGCAACCCUCGUUCCAUGUUGCCAGCACGUGAUGGUGGGGACUCAUGGGAGACUGCCGGGGUCAACUCGGA
Molecule: ribosomal RNA, 377 nt
Filed under: uncultured bacterium
Lineage: Bacteria
Description: bacterial SSU rRNA
Rfam family: Bacterial small subunit ribosomal RNA
Source: RNAcentral